UCUUUUUUCCCUCAUUUUCGCCUUCUUUUCCACCACCUCCGAAUUUUCACCUUCUCCAUUGAAGCAGCCACACCUCCUUCUCUCUCCAUAUCUCUCCUCCGUUGAACUCGUGCUCUUUAUUCUCCAUUGAAGCGGAUUCUGAUCUUUCUCACCUCCAUUGAAGCAGCUUCGAGGGUUUGUCAUUGAAGCACGCACGGCUCCACCUCCACCACAACGGCCUCCUUGUCACGGCGGCACGACCUUCUUUUUCUAGGGUUUAUCGUCAAUUCCCCCCUUUUUCUUAGAUCUCCUUCUCUGCCACUGCGCCGCAAGCGUUUCCAUCGAUGGCUAGGGUUUUCAGAAACAAUUUUCAUUCAAUAUCUGCAAUUUUAUCGUCCUUCUCAUCGCUGCUCAUGUCAUACCUUUGGUGUACUGGAUUUUCAGAGUUGCAACUGAGAAGCACCAACAAUUUCCUGGAAGAUCUUGAAAACACUGAUUUUGCCUCCUUCUGCAUUGUAUUUUCCGCCGCUAACCCUAAUUUUUAGUUUAAUUUUGUUUGAUAUUUGUUGAUUAUUGAAGAUUUCUUGUGUACUGUGUGUGUUAAUGUGUGAUUGUUGUUAUUUUGUUUUUGUUUCUUUGAGAUGUACUGGUACAACUGUACAAGGAUGCAUCACUCUGUUUUGCAGACUUGUUGCAUGUAUAUAAAAAAGUUCUUAUUACAUGUUUCAUGGAAAAUUGUAUUGAUCUGAGGCACAUAGGUUCUGAAGGCAUUUCAUUAUCCCGUGACAGUCACAUUGAUUCAAUUUGUUGUUGGGUCAGUGCUUGUUACCUUCAUGUGGAUGUUCAAUCUUUACAAGAAACCAAAAGUUAGCGCUGGAGAGUGAUAGGCCAGUUCUUGUCAUCAAGGGUCUAAAUGGAAGAAUCAAUAGAGCUUUUUAGGGGCCUUUAAUCAGCACUAUAAUCAGUUGUGGCAAAGAUGCUAUCAUCUGUGUCUGGGAUCCUGUGAUAAGAAGCAUUACCAGUUGUAUCAUUUCUGUUUGUUAUAUACUUGUAUCCACAUAGCCUUGAGUCUUGGAACUUCAUGAAAGAACAGUGCGCCUUAAAAUUAUGUUAUAUGAUUUACGUAUGCUUGAGUUCUUUUUGCUGCUUAUGCCAUGUUUGGUGGUUUGAUUUUUAGUGCUUCAAAUUGCAGACAGGCCAAGAGAUGAUGUCUACAAAGGACCAUAAAUAUGGUCACACGAAAGCAAUUACAUCACUUUGUCUAUCUGCAGACAAGUCACAUUUCCUUACUGGCUCUUUGGAUAAAUUAGCAAAGCUCUGGGACACAAAAUGCUAUUACCAUGUCUUCUUUACUGGACCAUUGCUCCAGUUUUCCCAUGGCAUAUUUCCUUAGGGCAAAAAUUUGGUAUUUGAAUGGUUUUCACUACAGGAAUUAAAGUGCUUCCCUACUCUUCAAUAUGAGAUAGCAUCAGCAGCAAAUUCAGCACUAAUGAGGUUUCGUGAAGAGAGCAAAAAGACAACUUUGCGGUUAGUAGAGAUGGAAUCCUCAUACAUCACUCCUGAUUUCUUUCGGAAGCUUUCUGCAACAAAUGUGGUUCCAUAUACAGAAGCUUACUACCUAAAGAUCAGCUCGAAUGUGGCCUCUUAUGUCAAUAUGGUGUCAGAAACACUGAAGAACUCAAUUCCCAAGGCUGUGGUGUAUUGCCAAGUCAGACAGGCAAAGCUUUCAUUACUCAAUCAGUUUUACUCGUAACUCGGUAGGAAAGAGGUCAUCUAAGUAUCUAACAGUCAAAUCUUAUUCUGGUAUUUGUUAAAUUGGUUCAAUUGGUUUGAUGUCUAUGACAAAAUGCGCUUCGAAUUAUUGGUUCAAUUUAUUUGGUCUUUCCCUAUUUGUUUUUCCUCGAACCUAGACAUUGAAUGAUUAACUUCAGUCCUUGGUUACAAUGUUGCAUCCCUCACUAGGUUGUUUUGAGUUUGAAUUACCCUGUGCCUAUUCCCUUAAGAAGUCUUAAGAUAUUCAUGUGCCUUAAACUUGUAGGAUGACCUCCAACUAAGGCAAUACACUACAACUAUACAUACACCCCUCAUUCCUCUUCUUACCAAAUUUGUUAUUUUCUCUCUCCUCUUCUUUACAUUUCAUACAUUGCUUUCUAUGCUUACUAAACAGAAAGUUACAUCAGAAUUUUCCAGCAGAUAUCAGUUCAUAAUCAUCAUAUUUUUCAGCAAAAAAUAAAAUCUCUUUUUUUUAACUAAUCUUCUGUUUUUUAUACUUCCCAUUUUUUUCAUGGAAACUUCCUCCAUUCUUGGUUCUGCACAAUCAUCUGACAGUGCUGCAUCCAACUACCGCGGUGGUGAACACUCCUUUCACCAUUCGCCACCCGGAAAUUAUGAUGAUAAGCCGAGUAAUCAUGAGAGUUUUUCCCUGACUUCCAUUCUCCUGAUUGUCAUACCUAUCUUCAUACUUAUCCUCCUUUCUUUCAUCGUAGUCCUUAUUAUAUUGCUUCGACAACAGAGGAGGUCGUCAAAGUGUAACAAUUAUAAUGGCAACAACAACAGCGACAACAGCUACAAGUUUGCUGCUGAUACUGCUAUUAGUUUUACAGAAAGCAGUCCUGGUAACGAUAAUGUUUACUACUUUAUAUUUUAUUCUUUAGUGUUUCAAAUUAGGUUAAUACUUUGUUAAAGAUUUCAUCAGUCAGACUGUUAGUUAAAAUCUGGUAUGAUAUACUGGUUUAUGAUAACUGAGUAGAGGUGAAGAAUGGGUGUAUGUCAGUUCAAGUGUUUAAACUCAUCCAGUGAUUUGAGUUUUUGUAUGAUUGAUAGUGUGUUUGUUCUGAUUCUUUUUCGUGGUUCUGCAUGUUGAUUCAGCCAGCAGUACAAACAAGCAAUGGCAGCAGCAGCACACAACCAGCAAGCCAUAACCAAAGCAGCAACAACAGUACAGCAGCAGCACCACAAGAGAAAAACAAACAGCAGCUAGCAACCUACCCAGCACCCCACAACAACUCAUCCAUCACCAUGAAGGCAUUUAUGAACUAAUUAAAGAGUAAUUUCAUAUACAGAAUUUUAUUUUAUUGUAUUUUUUUUGGACGAAAAUUGUAAUAUUACGGCUUUUUUUAAUGAA
Long non-coding RNA from Chenopodium quinoa (quinoa), 3103 nucleotides. RefSeq lists it as uncharacterized. The transcript has 8 exons. Lineage: Eukaryota; Viridiplantae; Streptophyta; Magnoliopsida; Caryophyllales; Amaranthaceae. The record is from RefSeq and is a predicted model, not a curated record.